GCAUUCAUGGCCGAGCGGAUUAGGCACUCAACUCAUAAUUGAUUCUAGGUAGGUUCAACUCCUACUGGAUGCA
RNAcentral lists this transfer RNA (73 nucleotides) under Pedinomonas tuberculata. RNAcentral's name for it is "tRNA-Ile". It matches the Rfam family "tRNA". Rfam says of the family: Transfer RNA (tRNA) molecules are approximately 80 nucleotides in length. Their secondary structure includes four short double-helical elements and three loops (D, anti-codon, and T loops). The record is from RNAcentral. Lineage: Eukaryota; Viridiplantae; Chlorophyta; Pedinophyceae; Pedinomonadales; Pedinomonadaceae.